UUUGCAGGACUCCAAAUCGGAAAAAAAUUGUCUGAGACAACCUAACUAAAACAGUAUGACAACAUUUCAGAAGUCGCAGAAUGCUACAGGUUUAUCCUGCAGAGACUGACUGUGCAGUUACUAAAGCUAAUGGAAGUGAUGCUAUUGACCUCCAUGAGAGUAGGAUGACAGCCAUCAGUUUGGAAAAGUGACUGACUCAAGAAUAUAGCCUCCAGACUUUGACUCUUAAUCUCUCAUUCACUUAUUUGUUGAUGGGUCAUAAAUGACACCCCUUUUUGUCCUCCUGUGCUGUGUCAGACUCUAAGAAUUGCCUCUGUUACAAGAGAGGGAAGAAAAUGGAAACACCAUCCCUGCAUCAGCAGUAAGUUGUAUCUGAUCUUAAAGG
RNAcentral lists this long non-coding RNA (385 nucleotides) under Crocodylus porosus (Australian saltwater crocodile). Its description in RNAcentral is "lncRNA (ENSCPRG00005014587.1)". The record is from RNAcentral. Lineage: Eukaryota; Metazoa; Chordata; Crocodylia; Crocodylidae.